RNAcentral lists this ribosomal RNA (794 nucleotides) under uncultured Thermococcus sp. RNAcentral describes it as "bacterial SSU rRNA". It matches the Rfam family "Archaeal small subunit ribosomal RNA", at positions 85 to 876 of the family's 1478-position model. The record is from RNAcentral. Lineage: Archaea; Methanobacteriati; Methanobacteriota; Thermococci; Thermococcales; Thermococcaceae.
ACGGCUCAGUAACACGUCGGUAACCUACCCUCGGGAGGGGGAUAACCCCGGGAAACUGGGGCUAAUUCCCCAUAGGCCUGAGGUACUGGAAGGUCCUCAGGCCGAAAGGGACUUAUGUCCGCCCGAGGAUGGGCCGGCGGCCGAUUAGGUAGUUGGUGGGGUAAUGGCCCACCAAGCCGAAGAUCGGUACGGGCUGUGAGAGCAGGAGCCCGGAGAUGGACACUGAGACACGGGUCCAGGCCCUACGGGGCGCAGCAGGCGCGAAACCUCCGCAAUGCGGGAAACCGCGACGGGGGGACCCCGAGUGCCGUGGCAACGCCACGGCUUUUCCGGAGUGUAAAAAGCUCCGGGAAUAAGGGCUGGGCAAGGCCGGUGGCAGCCGCCGCGGUAGUACCGGCGGCCCGAGUGGUGGCCGCUAUUAUUGGGCCUAAAGCGUCCGUAGCCGGGCCCGUAAGUCCCUGGCGAAAUCCCACGGCUCAACCGUGGGGCUUGCUGGGGAUACUGCGGGUCUUGGGACCGGGAGAGGCGGGGGGUACCCCUGGGGUAGGGGUGAAAUCCUAUAAUCCCAGGGGGACCGCCAGUGGCGAAGGCGCCCCGCUGGAACGGGUCCGACGGUGAGGGACGAAGGCCAGGGGAGCAAACCGGAUUAGAUACCCGGGUAGUCCUGGCUGUAAAGGAUGCGGGCUAGGUGUCGGGUGAGCCUCGAGCUCGCCCGGUGCCGUAGGGAAGCCGUUAAGCCCGCCGCCUGGGGAGUACGGCCGCAAGGCUGAAACUUAAAGGAAUUGGCGGGGGAG